UACGAAUGGGGCAAGCGUUGUUCGGAAUCACUGGGCUUAAAGCGUGCGUAGGCGGACAUGAAAGUCAGGAGUGAAAUCCCGGGGCUCAACCCCGGAAUUGCUUUUGAAACUCCAUGUCUGGAAUCCGGGAGGGGUUAGUGGAAUUCCGAGUGUAGAGGUGAAAUUCGCAGAUAUUCGGAGGAACACCAGUGGCGAAGGCGACUGACUGGACCGGCAUUGACGCUGAGGCACGAAAGCGUGGGGAGCAAACAGG
Molecule: ribosomal RNA, 253 nt
Filed under: uncultured bacterium
Lineage: Bacteria
Description: partial 16S ribosomal RNA
Rfam family: Bacterial small subunit ribosomal RNA
Source: RNAcentral